UGAACGACCCUCCGGCGCCGCCCGCCCAGCGGGAUCCGCCUGGGGCUCCGGCCGCGGACACGGGGAGACCCGGCGCGUCGCCGUCCGCGGGAGCCCGGCCCGGGCGAGGCGCCGCGGGGCUCAGGGACCGCGCGGGGCGGGACAACGCGGAGCAAACGCUUCCUUUCGGCCCGACGCCGCGGGGAGCUCCGCCGGGGCCCCGCCAGAGCCUUCCGCUGCCUGCGCCUGCCCGCGUCCAUCCUUCCCUUUCUCCUGGAAGGUCGGGGCCACACCGUUUCCAAGAGCGCGCGCUCAUUCGGGGACCGGCGGCUCGAGGUUACAAAUAUAUUGAAAGGAAAAGUCAGAUACUCUACGUAAGGCAAUGAACAGACUUUAAACCACCAAUGGUAGCCGGUAGCUAUUACCUCAGAGAUUCAAAAGCUUGUGCAGGAGCAGCCCUGAUAUAGAUGAUACCCAGAUGAAUAUAUAGAACAUUUUCAGAAUCUCAAAAAUCUUGCUGUGCCUUCUCCCACUGCAUAGUCCCAGGCCAAAGCAUCAACAGAGUGGCAGGGAGAGAAAGCUGGAGCCUUAAAGGAAUCUAACCUUGAAAGAGUUUAUUCCCAAUGGAACAUUCUACUCAGCUUCCUGCAAGAUUCUACCUUCACCUGAGGUGACCUAGGCUCCUAUUUUCUCUGUUCGGAGAACUCACUGCAAAGACAUUCAUGUGGCACCAGACCUACUUUCUCUUCAGAAAAGUCACCUACACAAGCCUCCUUUCGUGGAUAGCUUUCCAGACCAGUUAUAGCAAGAUCCUUCCUCUGAGGAGUGGGUUAGAGCAGCCAAGGAGGCGGACAUCUUAUAGUUCAUGGAGCUAGGAAGAUGCUUCUCAGUGCACCUUUGAGAUCCAUUUUCCAAGAUUCCAAGUGAUGGCUUCAAAAAAGUUUCAGUGAUGUGAAGACCUGGACAGUGGCCUCCUGAAUGACUGCGGGAGUAUCCCCAUAACACAGCCAUGGGUCCAUCAGGCUGUCCGUGACCCUGCCCUACUCUCUCCCUCUGGGAGCGUGUUUCCUCAGGUCAGCCAGAAAGUCCUCCUGCAUCCCCUGCUCCCUGAAAAAUUUCUCUCAAAGAAAUGUUUCCAUAAAAUCAGAGGAAUUGAAAUGGUUCUCAAUUACUACAUUCUCUGAAGUAGUUUGUCUCUGUUUUUCUCUGAAAGGAGACUUGUGUCUUCUGCCUCAGCCACAUGUAGGCAAAGUAAGUGUAGGGUUAGCUAGGAGCUCAGGCUUAGAGUAACAAAGGGUCAGCGUCAGCUCAUAUUGAGAGACUUUCUGAAGGUGAUCAAGAUCAGGGAGGGAUGUUGACCAUGGCACUGCAUACCCACUGUCAUCUCGGGUUCUUUCAUUUGUAUUUGUGAAUAUAUCUCAAUUUUAAAAUCUUAAUACUACCACAAGAAUACAACAACAAAAAACGUGAAUGCUCAGGGGCUUUAAAAGUGAGAAAAUCGAAGUCCAUGUCCCAGGAUCUAGACAUAGCCAUCCUUCUCUCUGUUCCCUCGUUAUCUAGAACAUUAUCUGAUCAUAGGGUGGAGUAGUUAGGGUUGCACAGACAUCAUAGGGCCAGAAAUGUCCCCACUCAACCUCCAGGAACAGUAAAAGACAAGACUCUUCUCAUAUUCCCAAAAUGCAACUGGAUUCUUGGGACCCUAAGUUCAGAGGGGUAAGGAGAAGUCCCUAUGACCUCUAAUCUUUGGGUAGGGAAUAGUUUUCACCUUCCCCCAGAUCUCCCCUCUAUUCUUGUUGCAGGCUGGGGAGGUGAGCACUGCUCUCCAAUAAUUCUUAUCUUAACCUUUAUGAAAGUGCACAGCUGGCCACCAACUCCCAUUCCCUCUCCCCAUGUGACAGGUUCAAGAACAGAAAAACAGAAUUCCUGGCUCUGUGUAUGGUUAGAAGGGUCAGGGGAAGGAGAGGAGACCCAAUGGAAGGCCAAGCAGAUAUAAGGGCUUAGCAAACUUGGGAGUAGAAUAUUAACAGACUUGAGAAAGAACUCUCCACAUUUCUUUAAGUGGCCCUCAGGUCACUCCUGGCCACUGGAAGAGAACUGGGUUCAAAGCUAGGGAUGUGAAAAUUGGGUCACGUUGCCCCACCUCCCAACCUCCACGAGACAACCCAUUUCUGAAAGGAUUCAGAGGUAGGAACAUUUUCCUGAAAACAGUAGCUUUUGAAUCUUAGAAAAACUAUCCACAGUGGAUGUAGAACUAAUUGAACUUUAGAGAAGGUGGGUGUUUAGGGGAUCCUGGGGUUAAUGUGGCAAGUCCAAGGAAUAAGGCAAGCACUGCUUAAGGAUCUGCCAUGGUUGUGGGGUUUAUCUAUCUAGAAGAAAACUUUGAACACAGCAAUGAAUUUUCCCCAUUGAAUGGGUACCCUGGGAAAGGGAAGCCCCUUCCCUUGGAGACUACAUGGGGCCUGAUGAUGUCAUUGCAGGGGAAGGGGUGACACAGCAAUCAGGAUGGGGAUGCUCAUAGUGCAGCCACCGUGACUGCAGAUUAAUGAACAAGUUUAACCGCAAGUGAAGAAGGGAAGAAUGACCCAACAAGUGGGAAGGAAUGGGAAUGUCCCCUUCAUCAUCAGUUAUGACACCUGCCCCAUUCCCUCAUUGAAGAGGGGUGGAGACAGACUUAAUGAGCUAUGUAACUUUGAAAAUGAGUGGCAUUUGUAAGACUAAAGAGAAAAGAAACUGUUCAUAAGCACUCAAGUUGAUAACAUUUCCCACAGGGAUAUGGCUUAACAAUUCUGAUUCUGCUGUACAUGUAUACUAGAAGUGAAAUAUAAAGUAAAUUGAUGUGGAGUGAUGUGACUCAAGUUUCUCACUGAAGGAGUGAAAAGUUACAGAUAAGAAGGUGGAGCUAGAAUGGUCCAUGUGGAGAUAUCAGUAUGC
Molecule: long non-coding RNA, 2910 nt
Organism: Equus caballus (horse)
Lineage: Eukaryota; Metazoa; Chordata; Mammalia; Perissodactyla; Equidae
Source: RefSeq, a predicted model, not a curated record